Molecule: transfer RNA, 71 nt
Filed under: Anguilla anguilla (European eel)
Lineage: Eukaryota; Metazoa; Chordata; Actinopteri; Anguilliformes; Anguillidae
Description: tRNA-OTHER
Source: RNAcentral
GGUACGAUGGUGCGGUGGAUAGCACUAUUGCCUCACAGCAAGAAGGUCCUGGGUUCAAAUCCUAGGUCCUG